CCUACGGGGGGCAGCAGUGGGGAAUUUUGGACAAUGGGGGCAACCCUGAUCCAGCAAUGCCGCGUGUGUGAAGAAGGCCUUCGGGUUGUAAAGCACUUUUGUCCGGGAAGAAAUCGCACCUGAUAAUACCGGGUGUGGAUGACGGUACCGGAAGAAUAAGGACCGGCUAACUACGUGCCAGCAGCCGCGGUAAUACGUAGGGUCCAAGCGUUAAUCGGAGUUACUGGGCGCGAAGCGUGCGCAGCGGGUUGAAAUCCCCGGGCUUAACCUGGGAAUUGCAUUGGUGACUGCACGGCUAGAGUGUGUCAGAGGGGGGUAGAAUUCCACGUGUAGCAGUGAAAUGCGUAGAGAUGUGGAGGAAUACCGAUGGCGAAGGCAGCCCCCUGGGAUAACACUGACGCUCAUGCACGAAAGCGUGGGGAGCAAACAGGAUUAGAUACCCUGGUAGUC
Molecule: ribosomal RNA, 450 nt
Filed under: uncultured bacterium
Lineage: Bacteria
Description: partial 16S ribosomal RNA
Rfam family: Bacterial small subunit ribosomal RNA
Source: RNAcentral